UACGGAGGGUGCGAGCGUUGUCCGGAUUUAUUGGGUUUAAAGGGUGCGUAGGCGGCCCUAUAAGUCAGUGGUGAAAUAUCGCAGCUCAACUGUGAGGGUGCCAUUGAUACUGUAGGGCUUGAGUGAAUUUGAGGUAGGCGGAAUUGACGGUGUAGCGGUGAAAUGCUUAGAUAUCCUAAGGAACACCGGUGGCGAAGGCGGCUUACUGGGUCUUAACUGACGCUGAGGCACGAAAGCCAGGGUAGCAAACAGG
Molecule: ribosomal RNA, 253 nt
Filed under: uncultured bacterium
Lineage: Bacteria
Description: partial 16S ribosomal RNA
Rfam family: Bacterial small subunit ribosomal RNA
Source: RNAcentral